AUUGAACGCUGGCGGCAUGCCUUACACAUGCAAGUCGAACGGCAGCGGACCUUCGGGUGCCGGCGAGUGGCGAACGGGUGAGUAAUAUAUCGGAACGUACCUUUCAGUGGGGGAUAACGUAGCGAAAGUUACGCUAAUACCGCAUAUUCUGUGAGCAGGAAAGCAGGGGAUCGCAAGACCUUGCGCUGAUUGAGCGGCCGAUAUCAGAUUAGCUAGUUGGUGAGGUAAAGGCUCACCAAGGCGACGAUCUGUAGCGGGUCUGAGAGGAUGAUCCGCCACACUGGAACUGAGACACGGUCCAGACUCCUACGGGAGGCAGCAGUGGGGAAUUUUGGACAAUGGGCGCAAGCCUGAUCCAGCCACGCCGCGUGAGUGAAGAAGGCCUCGG
This 388-nucleotide ribosomal RNA is filed under the name uncultured bacterium. RNAcentral's name for it is "bacterial SSU rRNA". It matches the Rfam family "Bacterial small subunit ribosomal RNA", at positions 30 to 420 of the family's 1533-position model. The record is from RNAcentral.